This 485-nucleotide ribosomal RNA is filed under the name uncultured bacterium. RNAcentral's name for it is "bacterial SSU rRNA". It matches the Rfam family "Bacterial small subunit ribosomal RNA", at positions 28 to 507 of the family's 1533-position model. The record is from RNAcentral.
GACGAACGCUGGCGGCAUGCCUAACACAUGCAAGUCGAACGGAGAGGAUUCAGAAGUUUACUUCAGGAUUCUCUUAGUGGCGGACGGGUGAGUAACACGUGGGUAAUCUGCCUGUUACACCGGGAUAACAGUGUGAAAACGCUGCUAAUACCGGAUAAGCUCACAAGGUCGGGAGAUCUGGUGAGAAAAGGAGCCAUCCGGUAACAGAUGAGCCCGCGGCUGAUUAGCUAGUUGGUGAGGUAAUGGCUCACCAAGGCGACGAUCAGUAGCCGGCCUGAGAGGGUGAACGGCCACACUGGAACUGAGACACGGUCCAGACUCCUACGGGAGGCAGCAGUGGGGAAUAUUGCACAAUGGGCGAAAGCCUGAUGCAGCGACGCCGCGUGAAGGAUGAAGGUCUUCGGAUUGUAAACUUCUAUCAGCAGGGAAGAAAGGGCUUAUAGCCUAUGACGGUACCUGACUAAGAAGCCCCGGCUAACUACGUG